GCGCAGGCGGAAUGAUUAGUCAGUGGUGAAAUCCUACAGCUCAACUGUAGAACUGCCAUUGAUACUGUCAUUCUUGAGUACAGUUGAAGUGGGCGGAAUGUAUCAUGUAGCGGUGAAAUGCAUAGAUAUGAUACAGAACUCCUAUAGCGAAGGCAGCUCACUAAACUGUUACUGACGUUCAGCCACGAAAGCGUGGGGAGCAAACAGGAUUAGAUACCCUGGUAGUCCACGCCGUAAACGAUGAUCACUCGUUGUUGGCAACACAUAGUCAGCGACUGAACGAAAGUAUUAAGUGAUCCACCUGGGGAGUACGAUCGCAAGGUUGAAACUCAAAGGAAUUGACGGGGGCCCGCACAAGCGGAGGAGCAUGUGGUUUAAUUCGAUGAUACGCGAGGAACCUUACCUGGGCUUAAAUGUUUAAUGACCGACUGGGAAACCAGUCUUCUCUUCGGAGCAUUUUACAAGGUGCUGCAUGGUUGUCGUCAGCUCGUGCCGU
RNAcentral lists this ribosomal RNA (496 nucleotides) under uncultured Bacteroidota bacterium. Its description in RNAcentral is "bacterial SSU rRNA". It matches the Rfam family "Bacterial small subunit ribosomal RNA", at positions 569 to 1068 of the family's 1533-position model. Lineage: Bacteria; Pseudomonadati; Bacteroidota. The record is from RNAcentral.